Long non-coding RNA from Nomascus leucogenys (northern white-cheeked gibbon), 781 nucleotides. RefSeq lists it as uncharacterized. NCBI's taxonomy places the organism in Eukaryota, Metazoa, Chordata, Mammalia, Primates, Hylobatidae. The transcript has 2 exons. The record is from RefSeq and is a predicted model, not a curated record.
ACUCCACCAGCCGGCCCCGCGGGGCGGUUACUGUGUUCCUGAGACUGUCUAUGGUGUCAGAAACAUCUCUGGAGAGGCCUGCAGAAAUUACUUUCCCGAGUCUUUGGGCUGGAAGGAACGAACAGUGCCUGACCAAGGACUCUGAGCAGGAGAGAGAUGGGAGCAGAGAGGAGCCAAGGUCUACUAUUUUCUGUCAAUUAGAUAGAAGCCCUGCCCAGAAGCUUUGAGCACCGCUGUCCCAUUCCUCCCCUAAACCAUCCAGGUUCCAUCUGCCUUGAAGCCAAAGGAUCUUCUUAGCUUCCUCAAGAAAAAUUCAGGCCCAAGUUUCUCCACCAGCACUCUCCUCUCCCCGAAGGAGUAGGUGGGCUGCAUUUAUCUUCAUAUUCUAUUCCAUUCCGGACCGUCUUGGACUACCAGCCUGUCUGCCACCCCUCAGGGCCCUCCCCUCCUACUCUGCCCUUGCCCGCUGAGGCCCCAAGCUGAGGAGAUGAGCAGAGCAGUAAAAAGAGGAGGUUUUGAAAAGCGAUGUCCUCUCAGUCUUUAACAGGUGGCCCCCUUAGGAACCUGCAGGAAGUGGAAGUUAAUAAGCUGAAGGUGGCCACAACCAAUCUCUGCCACACUUGCACCCUCCCCCACCCCAAAUCAUUCCUUUUAAUUAAUAGUAGAAGACGUUUUUAAACAUGUAACAUGAAUUGGCUAUUUCUUGAGGCAAACAAAAGGUGGCUCAGAAGCGAUACAUUUGUACUUGUAUAAAUUCAUUAAAGUAGAAAGCUUAUAACCA